Molecule: ribosomal RNA, 492 nt
Filed under: uncultured bacterium
Lineage: Bacteria
Description: bacterial SSU rRNA
Rfam family: Bacterial small subunit ribosomal RNA
Source: RNAcentral
AGAGUUUGAUCAUGGCUCAGGAUAAACGCUGGCGGCGUGCCUAAUCAAUGCGAGUCGCACGGACCUUCGGGUCAGUGGCGUCCGGGUGAGUAACGCGUAGCUAACCUGCCCAGAGGUGGGGGAUACCCGCCAGAAAUGGCGGCUAAUACCGCAUAGCGUGACGGGGGGCAACCCCUGGCACGAAAGCAGAGAUGUGCCUGUGGAGGGGGCUGCGUCCGAUUAGCCUGACGGUGGGGUAACGGCCUACCGUGGCGACGAUCGGUAGCUGGUCUGAGAGGAUGGUCAGCCACACUGGGACUGAGACAUGGUCCAGAGCUCUACGGGGUUUAGCAUGAAGGGAUAUUGCGCAAUGGGCGAAAGCCUGACGCAGCAACGCCGCGUGUGGGACGACGCCUUUCGGGGUGUAAACCUCUUUUAGCAGGGAAGAAGCGAAAGUGACGGUACCUGCAGAAAAAGCGCCGGCUAACUACGUGCCAGCCGCCGCGGUAAUAC